This 260-nucleotide ribosomal RNA is filed under the name uncultured bacterium. Its description in RNAcentral is "partial 16S ribosomal RNA". It matches the Rfam family "Bacterial small subunit ribosomal RNA", at positions 793 to 1055 of the family's 1533-position model. The record is from RNAcentral.
GUCCACGCCCUAACGAUGUCAACUGGUUGUUGGGAAGGUUCCUUCUCAGUAACGUAGCUAACGCGUGAAGUUGACCGCCUGGGGAGUACGGCCGCAAGGUUGAAACUCAAAGGAAUUGACGGGACCCGCACAAGCGGUGGAUGAUGUGGUUUAAUUCGACGCAACGCGAAACCUUACCUACCCUUGACAUGUCUGGAAUUUUGCAGAGAUGUGAAAGUGCUCGAAAGAGAACCGGAACACAGGUGCUGCAUGGCCGUCGU